This 484-nucleotide ribosomal RNA is filed under the name uncultured bacterium. RNAcentral's name for it is "partial 16S ribosomal RNA". It matches the Rfam family "Bacterial small subunit ribosomal RNA", at positions 30 to 507 of the family's 1533-position model. The record is from RNAcentral.
AUUGAACGCUGGCGGCAGGCCUAACACAUGCAAGUCGAGCGGAUGAAGGGAGCUUGCUCCUGGAUUCAGCGGCGGACGGGUGAGUAAUGCCUAGGAAUCUGCCUGUUAGUGGGGGAUAACGUCCGGAAACGGGCGCUAAUACCGCAUACGUCCUGAGGGAGAAAGUGGGGGAUCUUCGGACCUCACGCUAUCAGAUGAGCCUAGGUCGGAUUAGCUAGUUGGUGGGGUAAAGGCCUACCAAGGCGACGAUCCGUAACUGGUCUGAGAGGAUGAUCAGUCACACUGGAACUGAGACACGGUCCAGACUCCUACGGGAGGCAGCAGUGGGGAAUAUUGGACGAUGGGCGAAAGCCUGAUCCAGCCAUGCCGCGUGUGUGAAGAAGGUCUUCGGAUUGUAAAGCACUUUAAGUUGGGAGGAAGGGCAGUAAGUUAAUACCUUGCUGUUUUGACGUUACCAACAGAAUAAGCACCGGCUAACUUCGUG